Molecule: ribosomal RNA, 501 nt
Filed under: uncultured bacterium
Lineage: Bacteria
Description: bacterial SSU rRNA
Rfam family: Bacterial small subunit ribosomal RNA
Source: RNAcentral
AGAGUUUGAUCAUGGCUCAGAUUGAACGCUGGCGGAAUGCUUUACACAUGCAAGUCGAACGGCAGCACGGGGCAACCUGGUGGCGAGUGGCGAACGGGUGAGUAAUACAUCGGAACGUGCCCAAUCGUGGGGAUAACGUAGCGAAAGUUACGCUAAUACCGCAUACGAUCUACGGAUGAAAGCGGGGGAUCGCAAGACCUCGCGCGAAUGGAGCGGCCGAUGUCAGAUUAGGUAGUUGGUGGGGUAAAGGCUCACCAAGCCGACGAUCUGUAGCUGGUCUGAGAGGACGACCAGCCACACUGGGACUGAGACACGGCCCAGACUCCUACGGGAGGCAGCAGUGGGGAAUUUUGGACAAUGGGCGCAAGCCUGAUCCAGCCAUUCCGCGUGCAGGAUGAAGGCCUUCGGGUUGUAAACUGCUUUUGUACGGAACGAAACGGUUCUCUCUAAUACAGGGGGCUAAUGACGGUACCGUAAGAAUAAGCACCGGCUAACUACGUG